Molecule: ribosomal RNA, 490 nt
Filed under: uncultured bacterium
Lineage: Bacteria
Description: partial 16S ribosomal RNA
Rfam family: Bacterial small subunit ribosomal RNA
Source: RNAcentral
GAUGAACGCUAGCUACAGGCUUAACACAUGCAAGUCGAGGGGCAGCAUGGUCUUAGCUUGCUAAGGCCGAUGGCGACCGGCGCACGGGUGAGUAACACGUAUCCAACCUGCCGUCUACUCUUGGACAGCCUUCUGAAAGGAAGAUUAAUACAAGGUGGCAUCAUGAGUCCGCAUGUUCACAUGAUUAAAGGUAUUCCGGUAGACGAUGGGGAUGCGUUCCAUUAGAUAGUAGGCGGGGUAACGGCCCACCUAGUCUUCGAUGGAUAGGGGUUCUGAGAGGAAGGUCCCCCACAUUGGAACUGAGGCACGGUCCAAACUCCUACGGGAGGCAGCAGUGAGGAAUAUUGGUCAAUGGGCGAGAGCCUGAACCAGCCAAGUAGCGUGAAGGAUGACUGCCCUAUGGGUUGUAAACUUCUUUUAUAAAGGAAUAAAGUCGGGUAUGGAUACCCGUUUGCAUGUACUUUAUGAAUAAGGAUCGGCUAACUCCGUG